RNAcentral lists this ribosomal RNA (406 nucleotides) under uncultured bacterium. RNAcentral's name for it is "partial 16S ribosomal RNA". It matches the Rfam family "Bacterial small subunit ribosomal RNA", at positions 30 to 526 of the family's 1533-position model. The record is from RNAcentral.
AUUGAACGCUGGCGGUAGGCCUAACACAUGCAAGUCGAACGAGUGGCGGACGGGUGAGCAAUGUCUGGGAAACUGCACGAUGGAAGGGGAUAACUACUGGAAAAGGUAGCUAAUACCGCAUACCAUCGGAUGUGCCCAGGUGGGCUUAGCUAGUUGGUGGGGUAAAGGCUCACCUCGGCGACGAUCCCUAGCUGGUCUGAGAGGAUGACCGGCCACACUGGAACUGAGACACGGUCCAGACGCCUACGGGAGGCAGCAUGAGGGAAUAUUGCACAAUGGGCGCAAGCCUGAUGCAGCCAUGCCGCGUGUAUGAAGAAGGCCUUCGGGUUGUAAAGUACUUUCAUCGGGGAGGCGUUACCCGCAGAAGAAGCACCGGCUAACUCCGUGCCAGCAGCCGCGGUAAUUC